This is a long non-coding RNA of Amphiprion ocellaris (clown anemonefish), 1907 nucleotides long. RefSeq lists it as uncharacterized. The record is from RefSeq and is a predicted model, not a curated record. Lineage: Eukaryota; Metazoa; Chordata; Actinopteri; Pomacentridae. The transcript is spliced from 2 exons.
UCAUAUGGCGACUUCGAACACGUUUUUAGAAAGAAGUGCAACACCUGCAGCUGCAAAAGAGAGGGAGACGGCGUGGGAGAACAUUGCUGCCCGGGUCAAUGCGUAAGUUUAAAUCACAAUAAUAUUACAGGAAAACUGUUUAAUAGCAGCCUAUUCUGUUAUUUCAUUUAGGUGCAAUCCUGCAGGGGAGAAGCGCAUGUGGCAGCAGCUGAAGAUGAAAUAUAAGAACACUGUUCAAACAGCCAACAGAAAGAAAGCAGAUGCCUAUAAAAAGGGAGGAGGCCCAGCAGCACCACCUCUAACGGAGGCAGAGGAGCUGGUCCUAAGCCAGAAUUUGGGAAGGCCAGUGGCUGAGGGAAUCCCUGGAGGGAGCUCAUCCUCUGAGACCACAUCCCAAGACACAAGUGUGUGCGUGUGUGUGCGUGUGUGUGUGUGCGUGUGUUCAUGCGCUCAUGCGCCCACUGAACAUUUGCCAUAAGGAAGCACAGGGCACUGCAUUGUUUCUGCGUACGAGCGAGUGUGUGUGCAGCCACAGCGAUGGCAUGCGUGAAGGGGUGUGCUUUAAAGAUAGUGAGUUUAAUUAAAGAUGAAAGGGCUGAUGAUUAAUUGAUGGAAGGUGGACUGUUCCAUCAGGCUGAAAUGUGUGAGUGUGUGUUGACUCUUCUACUGUAGAAAAACAGAAAAAGUGGAAAAAAGCUACAUUUUUUUGAGAAAACUAGGACAGCAUCUUAAGAGACACAUUAUAUUGUCAUUUAAAAACAAAUGCUAAAUAGAAUUUGCUAAUUUGAUCAGUCCUUUAUUGAAGAAAACUGGCGUGGAGGUUCAGAUACACACAUCUGGAUGACAAAAAAGAUAUUUAAAUGAUUUUCUAGUGCAGAUCUUUGCCUGUAUUUACUCAUGCCGUGCUAUAGAAGUGAGCAGAUCAUCCCUGCUGUAUUUUUACUGCUCAUCUCUCAGCAGGUCUUCCUUUGCCCCCGUCUUCUCAAGGUGGCACCGAGUUCUUCGAGUGCCUCUGAGACUCUCCUCUAUAAAAAAUGGAGCAGCACAAGCUCUUUUGACAUCACACUUUCUGCUACCAGGAGAUUAGAAAGUGAAGGUGGAGCACUCCGGAGAAAACGCUCUCGGUCUGUGCAUCUGUACUGAAGAUUUAAUCUCCACGCGACACUGUGAGUCAGAGAGGUUGCUGGGGGAUUGGUUUGUCUCACCUGCCACUAAUGCUAAUGUGAUUAUUCCAGUCUAGCUGUAAAUUUCUGUAUAUAUUUUUAUUUAAUUUUGCUAUUUCAUUUUUCUUCCUGUUCCUCUUUCUAUAGUUUAUUAUUCUCUUCCAUAUUCCUAGUGUGACACCAACAGCCGAAACCAAAUCCCUUGCAUGUUGUGUAUUUACUAAAGCUGAUUCUGAUCACUUUUCUGUCUUUGGUCUAGGCAAGAGGAAAAGGUGCAACAGAAAAUUGGACCUUCCAAGCGUACUUGUGGAGAUGCAGGCUGAGGAGGAGUGGAGUCAUGCCCAGCAUGAUGAGAACAUCUGGUUGCUCCUCAGCGAGGCAAGAGAGAAUGAAGCGGCCUUGCAGCGGAGGAGAUGGUCCAGAAUGCUGCCUUCAACCAGUCAUUCCUGGGUGUACUGGGGCAGCUGGGGCAGCUGGUGCAGGCAGUGCUGGGUGUGCUGGGGCAGCUGGUGCAGGCAGUGCUGGGUGUGCUGGGGCAGCUGGUGCAGGCAGUGCUGGGUGUACUGGGGCAGCUGGUGCAGGCAGUGGGCAGCCAGUGAGUCCACCUCCCAGAGACUUGAGAUUUAGUUGUAUAUAGUUUUACUUUUAGCCCUCCACUGUAGGAGAGGCCCACCACAGUUUGUACUUUGCACAUUGUAAAUAGUUUUGAUUUUGCUGCUGACUAAUAAACUAUUUUGUGACUUA